RNAcentral lists this transfer RNA (64 nucleotides) under Camelus bactrianus (Bactrian camel). It matches the Rfam family "tRNA", at positions 5 to 66 of the family's 71-position model. From Rfam's summary of the family: Transfer RNA (tRNA) molecules are approximately 80 nucleotides in length. Their secondary structure includes four short double-helical elements and three loops (D, anti-codon, and T loops). Lineage: Eukaryota; Metazoa; Chordata; Mammalia; Artiodactyla; Camelidae. RNAcentral also lists the same sequence under 2 other names. The record is from Rfam by way of RNAcentral.
GUAUAGCUCAAUUGAUAGAGUACCUGUUUAGCAUGCAUGAGGUCCUGGGUUCAAUCCCCAGUAC